Molecule: ribosomal RNA, 484 nt
Filed under: uncultured bacterium
Lineage: Bacteria
Description: partial 16S ribosomal RNA
Rfam family: Bacterial small subunit ribosomal RNA
Source: RNAcentral
AUUGAACGCUGGCGGCAUGCUUUACACAUGCAAGUCGAACGGCAGCGCGGGCUUCGGCCUGGCGGCGAGUGGCGAACGGGUGAGUAAUGCAUCGGAACGUGCCCAGAAGUGGGGGAUAGCCCGGCGAAAGCCGGAUUAAUACCGCAUACGACCUGAGGGUGAAAGCGGGGGACCGAAAGGCCUCGCGCUAUUGGAGCGGCCGAUGUCGGAUGAGCUAGUUGGUGGGGUAAAGGCUUACCAAGGCGACGAUCCGUAGCUGGUCUGAGAGGACGACCAGCCACACUGGGACUGAGACACGGCCCAGACUCCGACGGGAGGCAGCAGUGGGGAAUUUUGGACAAGGGGGGCAACCCUGAUCCAGCCAUGCCGCGGGCGGGAAGAAGGCCUUCGGGUUGGAAACCGCUUUUGCUCUGGAAGAAAUCCUCUGGGCUAAUACCCCGGGGGGAUGACGGUACCGGAAGAAUAAGCACCGGCUAACUACGUG